RNAcentral lists this long non-coding RNA (279 nucleotides) under Vicia faba (fava bean). The record is from RNAcentral. Lineage: Eukaryota; Viridiplantae; Streptophyta; Magnoliopsida; Fabales; Fabaceae.
AUGAGACAUGCUCUUCAAGUUGUGCUGGUUGAUGCAGAACAGAAGCAGUUCAAGGAUCUUCAUGUUAAACAACGGCUUGAAGACUUAAAAGAUGCAAUAUUUUAUGUUGAAGAUUUGCUCAACUUAAUCAGCUACGAGGACUUUGAUGUUGUGAGAGUAACCAAGUCUCUCCUUGAAUCUGUUGUUAGAAAUACAACAUCUGCUACUUCAAAGGUCUGGGAAAGCGAUAAUCUUGAUAUUCUUCGAGUUGAAUUAAAGAAAAACUCGAGGGAGAAAUGA